This 468-nucleotide ribosomal RNA is filed under the name uncultured bacterium. RNAcentral's name for it is "partial 16S ribosomal RNA". It matches the Rfam family "Bacterial small subunit ribosomal RNA", at positions 28 to 507 of the family's 1533-position model. The record is from RNAcentral.
GACGAACGCUGGCGGCGUGCUUAACACAUGCAAGUCGAACGGAAAGGCCCUGCUUUUGUGGGGUGCUCGAGUGGCGAACGGGUGAGUAACACGUGAGUAACCUGCCCUUGACUUUGGUAUAACUUCAGGAAACUGGGGCUACUACCGGAUAGGAGCUCAUGCUGCAUGGUGGGCGUUGGAACGUUUCGGCGGUUGGGGAUGGACUCGCGGCUUAUCAGCUUGCUGGUGGGGUAGUGGCAUACCAAGGCUUUGACGGGUAGCCGGCCUGGGAGGGUGACCGGGCACAAUAGGACUGAGAUACGGCCCAGUCUCGAACAGUAGGCAGUGGGGGGGAGUCUUGUACAACGGGCGGGAGCCGGUUGCGGCAACGCCGCGUGCGGGAAGACGGCUUGCUGGUUGUGAACCGCAUUAGCCUGUGACGAAGCGGGAGUGACGGUAAUGGGUGAAUAAGCACCGGCUAACUACGUG